RNAcentral lists this ribosomal RNA (319 nucleotides) under uncultured Leptolinea sp. RNAcentral describes it as "bacterial SSU rRNA". It matches the Rfam family "Bacterial small subunit ribosomal RNA", at positions 1047 to 1382 of the family's 1533-position model. Lineage: Bacteria; Bacillati; Chloroflexota; Anaerolineae; Anaerolineales; Anaerolineaceae. The record is from RNAcentral.
GGCUGUCGUCAGCUCGUGUCGUGAGAUGUUCGGUUAAGUCCGCUACGAGCGCAACCCUCGCUGUGUGUUACAAGUGUCACACGGUCUGCCGGUCUUAAGCCGGAGGAAGGUGGGGAUGACGUCAAGUCAGCAUGGCCUUUAUGUCCUGGGCUACACACACGCUACAAUGGCCAACACAAUAGGUUGCUAAGCCGCGAGGUGGAGCCAAUCCUCAAAGUUGGUCUCAGUUCAGAUUGCAGGCUGCAACCCGCCUGCAUGAAGAUGGAGUUGCUAGUAACCGCAGGUCAGCUAUACUGCGGUGAAUACGUUCCCGGGGCUU